ACUCCUACGGGAGGCAGCAGUGGGGAAUAUUGCACAAUGGGCGCAAGCCUGAUGCAGCCAUGCCGCGUGUAUGAAGAAGGCCUUCGGGUUGUAAAGUACUUUCAGCAGUGAGGAAGGCGGGUACGUUAAUAGCGUGCUUGUUUGACGUUAGCUGCAGAAGAAGCACCGGCUAACUCCGUGCCAGCAGCCGCGGUAAUACGGAGGGUGCGAGCGUUAAUCGGAAUUACUGGGCGUAAAGCGCAUGCAGGUGGUUUGUUAAGUCAGAUGUGAAAGCCCGGGGCUCAACCUCGGAAUUGCAUUUGAAACUGGCAGACUAGAGUACUGUAGAGGGGGGUAGAAUUUCAGGUGUAGCGGUGAAAUGCGUAGAGAUCUGAAGGAAUACCGGUGGCGAAGGCGGCCCCCUGGACAGAUACUGACACUCAGAUGCGAAAGCGUGGGGAGCAAACAGGAUUAGAUACCCUGGUAGGAUACCG
This 473-nucleotide ribosomal RNA is filed under the name uncultured bacterium. RNAcentral describes it as "bacterial SSU rRNA". It matches the Rfam family "Bacterial small subunit ribosomal RNA", at positions 335 to 797 of the family's 1533-position model. The record is from RNAcentral.